CCUACGGGGGGCAGCAGUGGGGAAUAUUGGACAAUGGGGGGAACCCUGAUCCAGCCAUGCCGCGUGUGUGAAGAAGGACCUCGGGUUGUAAAGCACUUUCAGUGAGGAAGAACGCCUGGUGGUUAAUACCCAUCAGGAAAGACAUCACUCACAGAAGAAGCACCGGCUAACUCCGUGCCAGCAGCCGCGGUAAUACGGAGGGUGCGAGCGUUAAUCGGAAUUACUGGGCGUAAAGCGCGCGUAGGUGGCUUGAUAAGCCGGUUGUGAAAGCCCCGGGCUCAACCUGGGGACGGCAUCCGGAACGGGGGAGAGGGUGUGCAGGAGAGGGAGGUGGAACUCCUGGUGUAGCGGGGCACUGCGUAGAGAUUGGGAGGGUGGCCAGUGGCGAAGGCGGCCUGCACGACUUUAACUGACUCUGAGGUGCGAAAUCGUGGGGAGCAAACAGGACGAGAUGCCGCUGGAGGC
This 465-nucleotide ribosomal RNA is filed under the name Vreelandella stevensii. RNAcentral describes it as "partial 16S ribosomal RNA". It matches the Rfam family "Bacterial small subunit ribosomal RNA", at positions 338 to 795 of the family's 1533-position model. Lineage: Bacteria; Pseudomonadati; Pseudomonadota; Gammaproteobacteria; Oceanospirillales; Halomonadaceae. The record is from RNAcentral.